RNAcentral lists this ribosomal RNA (468 nucleotides) under uncultured bacterium. RNAcentral describes it as "partial 16S ribosomal RNA". It matches the Rfam family "Bacterial small subunit ribosomal RNA", at positions 28 to 507 of the family's 1533-position model. The record is from RNAcentral.
GACGAACGCUGGCGGCGUGCUUAACACAUGCAAGUCGAACGGAAAGGCCCUGCUUUUUUGGGGUUCUCGAGUGGCGAACGGGUGAGUAACACGUGAGUAACCUGCCCUUGACUUUGGGAUAACUUCAGGUAACUGGGGCUAAUACCGGAUAGGAGCUCCUGCUGCAUGGUGGGGGUUGGAAAGUUUCGGCGGUUGGGGAUGGACUCGCGGCUUAUCAGCUUGUUGGUGGGGUAGUGGCUUACCAAGGCUUUGACGGGUCGCCGGCCUGUGAGGGUGACCGGCCACAUUGGGACUGAGAUACGGCCCAGACUCCUACGGGAGGAAGCAGUGGGGAAUAUUGCACAACGGGCGGAAGCCUGAUGCAGCAACGCCGCGUGCGGGAUGACGGCCUUCGGGUUGUAAACCGCUUUCGCCUGUGACGAAGCGUGAGUGACGGUAAUGGGUAAAGAAGCACCGGCUAACUACGUG